Molecule: ribosomal RNA, 488 nt
Filed under: uncultured bacterium
Lineage: Bacteria
Description: partial 16S ribosomal RNA
Rfam family: Bacterial small subunit ribosomal RNA
Source: RNAcentral
AUUGAACGCUGGCGGCAUGCUUUACACAUGCAAGUCGAACGGCAGCACAGGGAGCUUGCUCCUGGGUGGCGAGUGGCGAACGGGUGAGUAAUGUAUCGGAACGUGCCUGGUAGUGGGGGAUAACUACUCGAAAGAGUGGCUAAUACCGCAUGAGAUCUUUGGAUGAAAGCGGGGGACCUUCGGGCCUCGUGCUACUGGAGCGGCCGAUAUCAGAUUAGGUUGUUGGUGGGGUAAAGGCCUACCAAGCCUGCGAUCUGUAGCUGGUCUGAGAGGACGACCAGCCACACUGGGACUGAGACACGGCCCAGACUCCUACGGGAGGCAGCAGUGGGGAAUUUUGGACAAUGGGCGCAAGCCUGAUCCAGCAAUGCCGCGUGCAGGACGAAGGCCUUCGGGUUGUAAACUGCUUUUGUACAGAACGAAAAGUCUCUGGCUAAUAUCUAGAGAUCAUGACGCUACUGUAAGAAUAAGCACCGGCUAACUACGUG